AUUAAUAAUAGCUCUUAAAUCUCUUUUAGAAUCAUUAUUUUUUUAAAAAAAAUAAAAAAUUAAAUCAAAAAGUAUAAUUAUUAGAAAAUAUUAUUUAGAAGCUAAAAUUUAAGUACUGUAAAGGAAAUUUGAAAAAUUUUAAAUACUUAUUUUUUAAAAAGAAAAAAUUAAAAUUUUUACCUUUUGUAUUAUGGUUUAACAACAUUAUAAAGGAAAAUUUUUCCUUUACCCGAAACCAAGGGAUCUAGUGAAACCCCAACAAAAUGGUUGUAAUGUGUUACUGUUACAAAAGUAAACUAAGAGGACUCAUUAGACAUGAAAAAUGAAUCGAACUUGGAGAUAGCUGGUUUUCUGAAUAAAUGAGUUUAAGCUCAAGCUUUUAUAUUUUUAUUAAAUAAAAUUAAAAAAAAUAAAUAAAAAGCUAAACCAAAAGGGAUAAACUUUUUGGUUUAAGGAAAAAGCCUAAAAAAAUAGUUAAAGUCAAAAAUAAACAAUAAGACAUAAAUGAUUAGUAGGCCUAGAAGCAGCCAUCUAAAAAAAAGCGUUAAAGCAUAACAAAAAUAAAUAUCAACCAAUAAUUUAUGAAAAACAAACUAUAACUUCUUAUUAAAAACAGAAUAAUAACUUUAUAGUUAAAAAAUAAUGUUAAAAUUAGUACUUUUAAUAAAAUAAAUUUUGAUUUAGUUAAAAAUAACCUAUUCUAACAAACCUAUUAUAAUGGAAGAAAGAAAAUAAUUUAAUCAAGAAAAAGAUUUUUUUAAUAGUUAACCCAACUCAGGAAAUCAAUUUAAUAAAAAAAUAAUAAGGAAGGAACUCGGCAAAUCUAAGCCUCGCCUGUUUACCAAAAACAUCGCCCCUUGUAACAAAAUAAGAAUAAGGGGUACUGCCUGCCCAGUGAUAUAAAAAUUUAACGGCCGCGGUAUCUUGACCGUGCAAAGGUAGCAUAAUAAUUUGCUCUUUAAUUGAGGGCUAGUAUGAAAGGCAAAACGAAGGCUCAACUGUCUCCCUAUUAAAAAAAGAAAUUAAUAUUUUAGUGAAGAAGCUAAAAUAAAAUUGCAAGACGAGAAGACCCUGUCGAGCUUAAGAAAAUUUUUAUUUAAAAAUAUUAAAAAUUAAGCUAAUUAAAUUAAAAAUACUUUAUAAAUUAAACAAUAAAAAUAUCUUUGGUUGGGGCAACCACGAAGAAAAAAAAACCUUCGACUUUUAAUAAAAAAUAAACAAAUUUAAAAACUUUAAUAAGCUUUACAAAAGAUCCGGUAACACCCGAUCAAAGAAAAAAGUUACCGCAGGGAUAACAGCGUUAUUCUCUUUAAGAGCUCUUAUUGACAAGAGAGUUUGCGACCUCGAUGUUGGACCGGGGCACCCAAGAGAUGCAGAAGUCUCUAAAGGUAGGUCUGUUCGACCUUUAAAGCCCUACGCGAUCUGAGUUCAGACCGACGCAAGUCAGGUCAGUUUCUAUCUACAAAAAUUUAAAAGUAAUUUUAUUAGUACGAAAGGAAUUUAAAAUUGGAACUAAUUUCUCAAAAAAAACUCCAAAAAUAAAACUGAAAAAAAAUUAAGAAAACUUAA
RNAcentral lists this ribosomal RNA (1569 nucleotides) under Comaster schlegelii. RNAcentral describes it as "16S ribosomal RNA". The stretch from base 137 to 1477 matches the Rfam family "Bacterial large subunit ribosomal RNA". Lineage: Eukaryota; Metazoa; Echinodermata; Crinoidea; Comatulida; Comatulidae. The record is from RNAcentral.